RNAcentral lists this ribosomal RNA (245 nucleotides) under uncultured bacterium. RNAcentral's name for it is "partial 16S ribosomal RNA". It matches the Rfam family "Bacterial small subunit ribosomal RNA", at positions 109 to 354 of the family's 1533-position model. The record is from RNAcentral.
AGUAACGCGUGGGCAACCUGCCCCAUAGAGGGGGACAACAGCUGGAAACGGCUGCUAAUACCGCAUAACAAGGAGAGAGCGCAUGUUCUUUUCUUCAAAGAUUUAUCGCUAUGGGAUGGACCCGCGUCUGAUUAGCUGGUUGGUGAGGUAACGGCUCACCAAGGCGACGAUCAGUAGCCGGCUUGAGAGAGUGGACGGCCACAUUGGGACUGAGACACGGCCCAGACUCCUACGGAAGGCAGCAG